CCUACGGGUGGCAGCAGUGGGGAAUAUUGGACAAUGGGCGAAAGCCUGAUCCAGCCAUGCCGCGUGUGUGAAGAAGGCCUUCGGGUUGUAAAGCACUUUCAGUGGGGAAGAAAGCCUUGGGGCUAAUACCCUCGAGGAAGGACAUCACCCACAGAAGAAGCACCGGCUAACUCCGUGCCAGCAGCCGCGGUAAUACGGAGGGUGCGAGCGUUAAUCGGAAUUACUGGGCGUAAAGCGCGCGUAGGCGGUCUGAUAAGCCGGUUGUGAAAGCCCCGGGCUCAACCUGGGAACGGCAUCCGGAACUGUCAGGCUAGAGUGCAGGAGAGGAAGGUAGAAUUCCCGGUGUAGCGGUGAAAUGCGUAGAGAUCGGGAGGAAUACCAGUGGCGAAGGCGGCCUUCUGGACUGACACUGACGCUGAGGUGCGAAAGCGUGGGUAGCAAACAGGAUUAGAUCCCUUUAGU
RNAcentral lists this ribosomal RNA (462 nucleotides) under Vreelandella stevensii. RNAcentral describes it as "partial 16S ribosomal RNA". It matches the Rfam family "Bacterial small subunit ribosomal RNA", at positions 338 to 794 of the family's 1533-position model. Lineage: Bacteria; Pseudomonadati; Pseudomonadota; Gammaproteobacteria; Oceanospirillales; Halomonadaceae. The record is from RNAcentral.